UCGGGCUUCUUCCUAUGUCUUAGUGCUUUAUCCGUUCACAUGUAGCAUAUUGUAUGUUGCUAUGCAUUAUAGGAUGACAAUACAUGCAUUCCUAAUCCUUAUAUGAUGUUUAUGAUCAAUAUAGGUAUUAUGAUAUGGAAUAUAUGAUGUAAUGGACAUAAGGAUUAUGAGAUGACAUUGGUAAACCUAUGAUGCUAAAUGAAAGAAGAACCUAGUGUUGUUGUAAUUAAAGACAUAGUUUACAAGUGGCAUUGAACUCAUUGUGCUAAAAACACAUAUGACUUGAGCUAGUAAUGGAUUGGUUGUUGCACUAGAAACUUCUAGUAACGUUGAUCAAGUUGCAUAUUGGGAUAUUGCAUUAUAGGGUACUAGUUGGCAAUUGUUACAUGUCAUGGCAUGCUAGUGAGAGUGUAGUGUUACUUGAUUAAUACUUGUACCUAGUAUGCAUGAGAUUGGGACUUAAUGUGGUGAAACCCUAUAAGGGCAUGAUUAAUGUAGGGUUAAACUUAGUUGAGUACAUUAAUCGAUCAAGUUGCAUAUUGUAUUUAUUGCAUAUAGGUGCUAGAUGAUUAUGGUUAUUGCUUGUAUUUGCAUGCUAGUAGCUAUACAUCUUGAUGAUUGAUCCAUGAACUAGUAUGCAUGAGAACCUAGACCCUAUAUGUGAGAUGAUUAAUGCUUAUGUUGCUAAAGAACUAGUAUGAUGUAACUAGUGUUGAAAUGAGUCUAAAUGACGAGUGGCAUCUAGUUUAGAAAACUAUGAUGAGUGGCAUAUGAUUGUUGAUAACCUUGACAUGAGAACCUUAGUGUAGUUGAAACACUAUGAGAUUGGGUACAAGAACACCUUGAUUCCAUGAUGAGAUUACCCUUAGAGGGUAGGUUGCUGUUGCUCGUGAGAUGAUCACGCUCACAUUGCCUGUCUGCGCUUGGUGGGGUCGCUCCCCCCAGGUUGUGCGCUCCGGAGUUUGGUCACUAGAGAGGCAGCCCUGCUUGCUGCUCGGAUAGCCGCUUGUUAUCCGCAGGCGUACUCGGGGAUCGACCAGCUAGGCAUCCCUAGGAGAUUGAUAUGUGAGCCUUGCUUGUGAACCUUGUGUUCACCACGAGAUUUGGUUACCUAUUGAGUCAUACUCAUUAUUGUUGUUCAUGAUAGCUUGCUUCCAUAGUUGUUGUUGUUGUUCAUAGUAGCUUACUAGUGUUCAUAGUAGCUUACUUAUUGCUCAUGCCUUCAUGAUAUACUAUUCCUUCACCUAUGAGAUUUGAGUACCUAUUGAGUCAUACUCAUUAUUGUUGUUCAUGAUAGCUUGCUUCCAUAGUUGUUGUUGUUGUUCACCUAUGAGAUUUGAGUGGAGUAGCCCUGUACCUAGUAGGUCGAGAUGUGAGUCGGGCAAAGUGCGGGGUAGCCUUUGCCUAGGACCUUGAGAUGUGAGUCGGGCGAGGGGCGGGGUAGCUCUUUGCCUAGGGACUCACGAGAUUGGGUCAGACCCUUGAGAUAUGAGUCGAGUGAGACAAGAGUGAGUUAGCUCUUCACCUACUAGAUUUGAGAUCUUAGGCAAGUUAGCCUAGCGGAUUGGGUAAUAACAUGAAUAGCAUAAGAGUAUUGCAUUCAUACCUUGAUUAGACAUAGUGCAUUGCAUAACUAUGUUGUUGUUGUAUUUAUUUCACUGUUGAGGCAUAUUAGCAUGAUAGUAGAUUGUUGCUAGAUGAUGUUCCAUGCAUACUUUGCAUUUGAUGGCAUAAUAGAUAUAGUAGUAGUAUUUCCAUAUAUCUUUCUAUCUAUCUAUCUGUGCCAGCUUGGACCUAGUGGGAAGAUCGGCGGAGUCGGCGGCCGAACCCACUGGGAACUAUAUUUAUAUAGUUCUCACCCCGUGUGGUUUUGGGGUACAGG
This 1882-nucleotide long non-coding RNA is filed under the name Ananas comosus (pineapple). RNAcentral describes it as "long non-coding RNA (ACOM_LNC034080)". The record is from RNAcentral. Lineage: Eukaryota; Viridiplantae; Streptophyta; Magnoliopsida; Poales; Bromeliaceae.